This 253-nucleotide ribosomal RNA is filed under the name uncultured bacterium. Its description in RNAcentral is "partial 16S ribosomal RNA". It matches the Rfam family "Bacterial small subunit ribosomal RNA", at positions 524 to 776 of the family's 1533-position model. The record is from RNAcentral.
GACGGAAGGUGCAAGCGUUGCUCGGAAUCACUGGGCGUAAAGGGUGCGUAGGCGGCUUGGUGGGUCUGGUGUGAAAGCCCCGGGCUCAGCCCGGGAAGGGCGCUAGAAACUGCCGAGCUCGAGUGCCGGAGGGGAGAGUGGAAUUCCUGGUGUAGCGGUGAAAUGCGUAGAUAUCAGGAGGAAUACCGGUGGCGAAAGCGACUCUCUGGACGGCAACUGACGCUGAGGCACGAAAGCGUGGGGAGCAACCACG